RNAcentral lists this ribosomal RNA (919 nucleotides) under uncultured Bacteroidota bacterium. RNAcentral describes it as "bacterial SSU rRNA". It matches the Rfam family "Bacterial small subunit ribosomal RNA", at positions 1 to 917 of the family's 1533-position model. Lineage: Bacteria; Pseudomonadati; Bacteroidota. The record is from RNAcentral.
UGGAUCAGACUUUGAUCCUGGCUCAGGAUGAACGCUAGCGGCAGGCUUAACACAUGCAAGUCGAGGGGCAGCGCGGGAUAGCAAUAUUCUGGCGGCGACCGGCGGAAGGGUGCGUAACGCGUGAGCGACAUGCCCGUUGCCCGGGGACAACCGGUGGAAACGCCGACUAAUCCCCGAUGGGAUACGAUGCUUCAUGGCAUUGUAUUGAAAGUUACGGCGGCGACGGAUUGGCUCGCGUCCGAUUAGCUGGUUGGCGGGGUGACGGCCCACCAAGGCUACGAUCGGUAGGGGUUCUGAGAGGAAGGCCCCCUACAAUGGGACUGAGACACGGCCCAUACUCCUACGGGAGGCAGCAGUGAGGAAUAUUGGUCAAUGGGCGGAAGCCUGAACCAGCCAUGCCGCGUGCGGGAAGGAGGCCCUAUGGGCUGUGAACCGCUUUUGCCUGGGGGCAAUAAGGGCGUCGCGCACGUCCGAUGAGAGUACCAGGCGAAUAAGCAUCGGCUAACUCCGUGCCAGCAGCCGCGGUAAUACGGGGGAUGCGAGCGUUAUCCGGAUUCAUUGGGUUUAAAGGGUGCGUAGGCUGUGCGUCAAGUCGGGGGUGAAAUUCCGGUGCUCAACACCGGGGCUGCCCUUGAUACUGUCGCGCUGGAGUGCGGAUGCCGCCGGAGGAAUGAGUGGUGUAGCGGUGAAAUGCUUAGAUAUCACUCAGAACACCGAUUGCGAAGGCAUCUGGCGAAUCCGUAACUGACGCUGAGGCACGAAAGCGUGGGGAUAGAACAGGAUUAGAUACCCUGGUAUUCCACGCCGUAAACGAUGAUGGCUAACCGCCCGCGACACACUGUCGGUGGCCAAGCGAAAGCGAUAAGCCAUCCACCUGGGGAGUACGUCGGCAACGAUGCAACUCAAAGGAAUUGACGGA